RNAcentral lists this ribosomal RNA (253 nucleotides) under uncultured bacterium. RNAcentral describes it as "partial 16S ribosomal RNA". It matches the Rfam family "Bacterial small subunit ribosomal RNA", at positions 524 to 776 of the family's 1533-position model. The record is from RNAcentral.
UACGGGGGGGGCAAGCGUUGUUCGGAAUUACUGGGCGUAAAGGGCUCGUAGGCGGCCAACUAAGUCAGACGUGAAAUUCCUCGGCUUAACCGGGGAACUGCGUCUGAUACUGGAUGGCCUGAGGUUGGGAGAGGGAUGCGGAAUUCCAGGUGUAGCGGUGAAAUGCGUAGAUAUCUGGAGGAACACCGGUGGCGAAGGCGGCAUCCUGGACCAAUUCUGACGCUGAGGAGCGAAAGCCAGGGGAGCAAACGGG